Molecule: ribosomal RNA, 1037 nt
Filed under: Cutibacterium granulosum
Lineage: Bacteria; Bacillati; Actinomycetota; Actinomycetes; Propionibacteriales; Propionibacteriaceae
Description: bacterial SSU rRNA
Rfam family: Bacterial small subunit ribosomal RNA
Source: RNAcentral
CAAGUCGUACGGUAAGGCCCUUUCGGGGGUACACGAGUGGCGAACGGGUGAGUAACACGUGAGUAACCUGCCCACAACUUUGGGAUAACGCUAGGAAACUGGUGCUAAUACUGGAUAUGUGCUCCUGCUGCAUGGUGGGGGUUGGAAAGCUCCGGCGGUUGUGGAUGGACUCGCGGCCUAUCAGCUUGUUGGUGGGGUAGUGGCCUACCAAGGCGGCGACGGGUAGCCGGCCUGAGAGGGUGACCGGCCACAUUGGGACUGAGAUACGGCCCAGACUCCUACGGGAGGCAGCAGUGGGGAAUAUUGCACAAUGGGCGCAAGCCUGAUGCAGCAACGCCGCGUGCGGGAUGACGGCCUUCGGGUUGUAAACCGCUUUCAGCAGGGACGAAGCUUUUUGUGACGGUACCUGCAGAAGAAGCACCGGCUAACUACGUGCCAGCAGCCGCCGGUGAUACGUAGGGUGCGAGCGUUGUCCGGAUUUAUUGGGCGUAAAGGGCUCGUAGGCGGUUGAUCGCGUCGGAAGUGGAAACUUGAUGCUUAACGUUGAGCGUGCUUUCGAUACGGGUUGACUUGAGGAAGGUAGGGGAGAAUGGAAUUCCUGGUGGAGCGGUGGAAUGCGCAGAUAUCAGGAGGAACACCAGUGGCGAAGGCGGUUCUCUGGACCUUUCCUGACGCUGAGGAGCGAAAGCGUGGGGAGCGAACAGGCUUAGAUACCCUGGUAGUCCACGCUGUAAACGGUGGGUACUAGGUGUGGGGUCCAUUCCACGGAUUCUGUGCCGUAGCUAACGCAUUAAGUACCCCGCCUGGGGAGUACGGCCGCAAGGCUAAAACUCAAAGGAAUUGACGGGGCCCCGCACAAGCGGCGGAGCAUGCGGAUUAAUUCGAUGCAACGCGAAGAACCUUACCUGGGUUUGACAUGGAUCGGAAGCUUCCAGAGAUGGUUGUGCCUCUUUUGGGGUCGGUUCACAGGUGGUGCAUGGCUGUCGUCAGCUCGUGUCGUGAGAUGUUGGGUUAAGUCCCGCAACGAGCGCAACCCU